GGGGGUACUCGAGCGGCGAACGGGUGAGUAACACGUGAGUAAUCUGCCCUUGGCUUCGGGAUAGCCACCGGAAACGGUGAUUAAUACCGGAUACGACACAUCACUGCAUGGUGCGUGUGUGGAAAGUUUUUUCGGCCAGGGAUGUGCUCGCGGCCUAUCAGCUUGUUGGUGGGGUAAUGGCCUACCAAGGCUUCGACGGGUAGCCGGCCUGAGAGGGUGACCGGCCACACUGGGACUGAGACACGGCCCAGACUCCUACGGGAGGCAGCAGUGGGGAAUAUUGGACAAUGGGCGGAAGCCUGAUCCAGCAACGCCGCGUGAGGGAUGACGGCCUUCGGGUUGUAAACCUCUUUCAGCACAGACGAAGCGCAAGUGACGGUAUGUGCAGAAGAAGGACCGGCCAACUACGUGCCAGCAGCCGCGGUAAUACGUAGGGUCCGAGCGUUGUCCGGAAUUAUUGGGCGUAAAGGGCUCGUAGGCGGUUUGUCGCGUCGGGAGUGAAAACACCGGGCUUAACUCGGUGCUUGCUUUCGAUACGGGCAGACUAGAGGCAUUCAGGGGAGAACGGAAUUCCUGGUGUAGCGGUGAAAUGCGCAGAUAUCAGGAGGAACACCGGUGGCGAAG
Molecule: ribosomal RNA, 624 nt
Filed under: uncultured Actinomycetes bacterium
Lineage: Bacteria; Bacillati; Actinomycetota; Actinomycetes
Description: bacterial SSU rRNA
Rfam family: Bacterial small subunit ribosomal RNA
Source: RNAcentral